This 513-nucleotide long non-coding RNA is filed under the name Sarcophilus harrisii (Tasmanian devil). RNAcentral describes it as "lncRNA (ENSSHAG00000020811.1)". Lineage: Eukaryota; Metazoa; Chordata; Mammalia; Dasyuromorphia; Dasyuridae. The record is from RNAcentral.
UCCAGUUCUAAAUAAAUAAUCUUUUCAUUCCCAUUUUAAUAUUUAUUCUACUCUACUAUAUACACUAUCUUUGGCCAGGGCAAGAUGAAUUGCUUUGCCCUGUGAAAAAUAAUAUAUUGUGAAACCAGCAAUCAAUUGAUGAUGUGAUUUUUUCUCUCCCAAGGAAGCCAGAACACCUUGGAGAAACUUCAAAAGGACUUCUCAAAUAGAAAACUUCUGGUUACAUGGAACAUUGUCCCAUAAAAAUUUGGUGACUUUCAAGGACCAAUAUAUUCGGCAAGUCCAGGAGGAUAAAUUGACAGCAAGGCCAGAUACAGAACAUUUGGUCAAGUGAGCAAACACAGACUACCAACAACAACAAAAAAUCAACAACUAAAAGUGGUGACAUCACAUUUAAGUGAAGCCCUGUCAGAGACUUCUUCCUCACUGCCCACAUCAUUGAGUUAAACAUAAGGUAUGUAAAUACAAACAGUGCUGUCUCAUGCUGUAUAUGUUAUUCAAUCACAAGUCAGG